Molecule: ribosomal RNA, 451 nt
Filed under: uncultured bacterium
Lineage: Bacteria
Description: partial 16S ribosomal RNA
Rfam family: Bacterial small subunit ribosomal RNA
Source: RNAcentral
GAUGAACGCUGGCGGCGUGCCUAACACAUGCAAGUCGAGCGGCAGCGAGGGGUGCUUGCACCCUGUCGGCGAGCGGCGGACGGCUGAGUAACGCGUGGGAACGUGCCCCAAAGUGAGGAAUAACUGCCCGAAAGGGUAGCUAAUACCGCAUAUUAUCUUCGGAUCAAAGGAUUUAUCCGCCUUGGGAGCGGCUCGCGUCGGAUUAGGUAGUUGGUGAGGUAAUGGCUCACCAAGCCGACGAUCCGUAGCUGGUCUGAGAGGAUGACCAGCCAGACUGGAACUGAGACACGGUCCAGACUCCUACGGGAGGCAGCAGUGAGGAAUCUUCCACAAUGGGCGAAAGCCUGAUGGAGCAACGCCGCGUGCAGGACGAAGGCCUUCGGGUUGUAAACUGCUUUUAUAAGUGAGGAAUAUGACGGUAACUGAUGAAUAAGGAUCGGCUAACUACGUG